UACGAAGGGUGCGAGCGUUAAUCGGAAUUACUUGGCGUAAAGCGUGCGCAGGCGGCUUUGCAAGACAGAUGUGAAAUCCCCGGGCUCAACCUGGGAACUGCAUUUGUGACUGCAAGGCUAGAGUACGGCAGAGGGGGAUGGAAUUCGGCGUGUAGCAGUGAAAUGCGUAGAUAUGCGGAGGAACACCAAUGGCGAAGGCAAUCCCCUGGGCCUGUACUGACGCUCAUGCAC
RNAcentral lists this ribosomal RNA (231 nucleotides) under uncultured bacterium. Its description in RNAcentral is "partial 16S ribosomal RNA". It matches the Rfam family "Bacterial small subunit ribosomal RNA", at positions 524 to 754 of the family's 1533-position model. The record is from RNAcentral.